This 166-nucleotide unclassified non-coding RNA is filed under the name uncultured Ascomycota. Its description in RNAcentral is "sequence contains ITS1". The record is from RNAcentral. Lineage: Eukaryota; Fungi; Ascomycota.
CCGAGUUUACAACUCCCAAACCCCUGUGAACAUACCUAACGUUGCCUCGGCGGGAAAGCCCCGGGCGUUGGCGCAAGCCUCGCACCGGUAUCAGGCGCCCGCCGGAGGACCAAACCAAACUCUUGUAUUCUAAAGAAUCUUCUGAGUAACCAUAAGUAAUAAAUUA